GAGUAAUUCGCUUGAGGAUGAGCCCGCGCGAGAUUAGCUAGUUGGUGAGGUAAUGGCUCACCAAGGCUACGAUCUCUAGCUGGUCUGAGAGGAUGAUCAGCCACACUGGAACUGAGACACGGUCCAGACUCCUACGGGAGGCAGCAGUAGGGAAUAUUGCGCAAUGGGGGAAACCCUGACGCAGCGACGCCGCGUGAGUGAUGAAGGACUUCGGUUCGUAAAGCUCUGUCGCAGGGGAAAAAUUCUUG
RNAcentral lists this ribosomal RNA (248 nucleotides) under uncultured Bdellovibrio sp. Its description in RNAcentral is "partial 16S ribosomal RNA". It matches the Rfam family "Bacterial small subunit ribosomal RNA", at positions 208 to 455 of the family's 1533-position model. The record is from RNAcentral. Lineage: Bacteria; Pseudomonadati; Bdellovibrionota; Bdellovibrionia; Bdellovibrionales; Pseudobdellovibrionaceae.